This 73-nucleotide transfer RNA is filed under the name Ailuropoda melanoleuca (giant panda). It matches the Rfam family "tRNA". From Rfam's summary of the family: Transfer RNA (tRNA) molecules are approximately 80 nucleotides in length. Their secondary structure includes four short double-helical elements and three loops (D, anti-codon, and T loops). Further hydrogen bonds mediate the characteristic L-shaped molecular structure. tRNAs have two regions of fundamental functional importance: the anti-codon, which is responsible for specific mRNA codon recognition, and the 3' end, to which the tRNAs corresponding amino acid is attached (by aminoacyl-tRNA synthetases). tRNAs cope with the degeneracy of the genetic code in two manners: having more than one tRNA (with a specific anti-codon) for a particular amino acid; and 'wobble' base-pairing, i.e. permitting non-standard base-pairing at the 3rd anti-codon position. Lineage: Eukaryota; Metazoa; Chordata; Mammalia; Carnivora; Ursidae. The record is from Rfam by way of RNAcentral.
ACCUGGCUGGCUCAGUCAGUGGAGCAUGUGACUCUUGAUCUCAGAGUUGUGAGUUCAAGCCCCACACUGGGUA